This 210-nucleotide long non-coding RNA is filed under the name Mytilus galloprovincialis (Mediterranean mussel). The record is from RNAcentral. Lineage: Eukaryota; Metazoa; Mollusca; Bivalvia; Mytilida; Mytilidae.
GAAACCUCAAAUUAAAAAAAAAAUAUGCAUAUGUUUUUUAUAACUAAAUGGAUAGUUUUCAUUUUACAACUUAUGUACAUAUACUUUUUUCUGAGGAAAGUUCUUUAAUUUGUCCACAUUUAGAAGAAGUUUACUUAUUUUUAAUUGCUUGGUUCCAGGAAGCAAUUCGCCGACAUAUUUUCCGUAUGCAUAGUGACCUGAGCGUAACCC